RNAcentral lists this unclassified non-coding RNA (270 nucleotides) under Hevea brasiliensis (rubber tree). Lineage: Eukaryota; Viridiplantae; Streptophyta; Magnoliopsida; Malpighiales; Euphorbiaceae. The record is from RNAcentral.
CUUCCUCUUCCUUUCCGAAUCCUCACAUCUCUCUCAAAUAAAAUUAUGUAGAAAAAUUCAAAUAAAUAAACCCAACAACUAUUGGAUGCUUCACAGAUUUAAGGAUGAUCAAGCAGAGGUACAAGGCUCGGUGUUUUGGGUUUCAGCUAAAAGAGGUGCAACUAUUAGUCCAAUCGGAAGUAAGAACACAUUUAUCAGGGGGAAUUUGUGUUCUUGGUAAUUCUGGAGAAUUAGACAACAUGUGGGAGGGGGGUGAAGCUUGAAAAUAAA